This 210-nucleotide ribosomal RNA is filed under the name uncultured bacterium KC413. RNAcentral describes it as "partial 16S rRNA". It matches the Rfam family "Bacterial small subunit ribosomal RNA", at positions 267 to 494 of the family's 1533-position model. Lineage: Bacteria; Pseudomonadati; Pseudomonadota; Alphaproteobacteria. The record is from RNAcentral.
ACCAAGUCUACGAUCUAUAGCUGGUUUUAGAGGAUGAUCAGCAACACUGGGACUGAGACACGGCCCAGACUCCUACGGGAGGCAGCAGUGGGGAAUCUUAGACAAUGGGCGCAAGCCUGAUCUAGCCAUGCCGCGUGUGUGAUGAAGGUCUUAGGAUCGUAAAGCACUUUCGCCAGGGAUGAUAAUGACAGUACCUGGUAAAGAAACCCC